GGACUCAAGUCACCAAUUCAAAGAAAUAGACUGGUGGAAUGGAUCAAGAAACAACAUCCAAUCAUAUCAUGUACAUCUAAUCCAAACGGAAACUCAUAGACUGUAAGUCAAAGGAUGGAAAACAAUACUUCAUGCAACGGGAACUACCCACCAAAAAAAAGCAAGGGUAACUACUCUGUUUGCAGACAAUGUGAACUUCAAAUCAAGAAUGAUCAAAAGAAAAAGAAAAUCACUACGUACUAGUUAGGAGAAAACUUCAAGUGGAAGAGAUAACAAUCUUAAACAUCUAUGCAACAAAUUCGGGAGCACCAGCUAUAUAAACAAAUAUUAACAGAAAUGAAAAAUCAAAUAAGCAAUAACACAAUUAUAAUGGGAGACCUUAACACCCCCUGACAAUAAGAGACAGAUCAACUAGACAGAAAAUCAACAAAGAAAUAACAGAACCGAAUCACAUCUGUGAACAAAUGCACUUAGUGGACGAGCACAGAGUAUUCCAUCCUGAAGAUCAAUGAAAUAGAUUGUAAGAUAGAACUACAACUACACAAAACUCAGCCACCUUAUCUUUGACAAAGGGGCCAAACACAUUCACCAGAAGAAAGAUAAUGUCUUUAAUAAGUGGUGCUAGAAAAACUGGCUCUCCAUAUGCCACAAACUAAAACUAUACCCAUGCCUAGCACCAUGCAUAAAACUAAAGUCAAAAUGGAUCAAAGAUCUAAAUAUUAAAACAGAAACACUAAACAUGCUGGAUGACAAAGUAGUUGGAAAUUUUGAAGACACAGGGACAGGCAAGAGAAUUCAUGAACAAAAAUCAAACCACAUGGGAAACACUUCCCAGAAUCAAUAACUGGAAUUACGUCUUAUUAAAAGUGUUUGCAUGUCAAAAUAAAUCUCCAACAGAGUAAAAGGAAACGUAGAAUUUUGAAAAAAUCUUAGUAAACUGUCUCGCAAAGGACUUCUACAACAUAUAAAGUAUUUAAAAAAUUCUUUAUAUGUCUAGAACAUAUAAAGAAUUUUAAAAAAUCAGACCUCAUGAAGUCAAACCAACAUUUCAUAGAGGAUAGCAGCCCUGUGACACAGGCCCUGUGGAGGUGCAGGCAGAGAUGGUCACCCAGCACCCUGAGGUGCCCAAUGCCAGGGGCUGUGCACUUGAGGGCAAUGAGGGUGAGUUCAUGUUAGGCACCUUCUGUCCCAAUGGAAAGAAGAAUAAUGGCCAGGUACAGUGAGGUCCACGGUGAGCACAGAAAUAAAAUGUAGGAAACAGCAGCACACAGCCUGGGAAGGCAGAAAUGUCGCACUGUUUCCCUGCACACACGUGGCCUGGUGGGUCGCUGCUGAAGGGAGGCCUGGCUGACCAAUGGCACACGCUGGAAGGCAGCAACAUACAUGCAACAGGAUUGAGGCUCAGCAGGGUGAGAGAUGUGAAUACUAAUCCAAAGGGAGGAGGAAAAUCAGGGAAGAGCAAACAAAGGGUGGGUAAAACAGAGCUGGAAGACAGGCUGGAACCCAGCUGAGUGAACACAGGGCAGUGAUUUGCAUUCAUCACCAAUUACAAAGCACAGACUGUCAGGUGAGAUUAACCAUUGCACCUACAAAGAAGCUGCUUAUUAGCUUUAUUUUCCUUUUAUGUAGAAAUAGUUUCAGAUUUUAAGAAGGUCAUUGAGUUCCUAUACACUGAUCACCUGGCUUCUUCAGACAGGAGGAACGUAAGAGAUCCGAAGGACGAUGAGUGACAUUAGGAAGUGGACGUUCCUGCAGUACUGCUAAGUACAGUGGACAAUUCACCUGGGCUUCUCCCAUCUGUCUUUUACAGGACCUAUCUAGGACUCCACAUUGUGUGCAGUGACGGGGACACUGCUGUCUCCUCCCAUCUGUGGCGGUCCGCUGUCUACCAGGAACGCUGUCCUUGUUCCUCUGCACAGUCUAACAUACGUGCAUUCACCAGUGAAGUUGUCAUGGCUAAAACUCCUGGCACCAGCUUCUACCUAGACAUCAACUGUCAUCCCGUCGACCCCCCUAGACUCCAGUACAGUGCCCUCGGCCAGCAGGAAGUAGUUAAAGAGAGAAAUCUUCGCCCCUUUUCCUAAUAAUCAUAAGAUGGGAUAUGAAAGGGUUGCUGGCCCAGGCCGGAUACUGUAGCCAGUAAAGCCAGGGAGCUCUUAUCUCCCCCCACCUUUAGAAAUUACUUCUGGCGCCAAACUAAGACCAGUGGGCUACCUGUACAUCCCUAAUGCCCCUUAGGUUCCACCCCAGGCUGAGGCUACUUAUAUGCCUCACUCCACGUGUUCCACGGAGAGAUCGCUGGCCCCGGGGUGGAGAUGCCAUGCCGCAGGGGGUCAGGGGUGUCUCUCCCCGCAUUCCCAAAAUAAAGGUUACUUACAUUUUA
This is a long non-coding RNA of Cavia porcellus (domestic guinea pig), 2383 nucleotides long. RefSeq lists it as uncharacterized. The record is from RefSeq and is a predicted model, not a curated record. NCBI's taxonomy places the organism in Eukaryota, Metazoa, Chordata, Mammalia, Rodentia, Caviidae. The transcript is spliced from 2 exons.